This 1081-nucleotide long non-coding RNA is filed under the name Populus trichocarpa (black cottonwood). RNAcentral describes it as "long non-coding RNA (PTRI_LNC003365)". The record is from RNAcentral. Lineage: Eukaryota; Viridiplantae; Streptophyta; Magnoliopsida; Malpighiales; Salicaceae.
GUCAUCAUGGCUCAGAGGACAUCACGAUCCAAAUAAGAGAAAAUCCUUCAAAAUGACGAGAACAUCAAGCACAUCUGUGAAUAGCUGUUAUUCAAGGUAGGCAGUGGAGCUACUGUUAACUCCAUCUCUCAAACUUUUCUUGCGUGUCAGUUUGCACGCCUCUCCUUUUUGCCUGGUUCAAAAAAGGAAAAGGCAGUGUUGAAGUUGAAUAUUUUUUUAUUUUUGAAGAAAAAAAGCAUUUUAGAAAAAUGAUGUAGAUUGAAAAAACAUUUAGAAAAUAACAUAUUUUAAACACAACAUGAAUGAUGAUUCGCGCGUGUGUUUUUUUUUCUGGUUCACGACUUGUUUCAGCACUUGUUUCCUUGCAUUCUUUGCAUGUGUUGAUUGUUUUCCAUACUACUUGAAGAAUCAGAUUCCAUUUCUGUUGAUCGACUUCACCAUCCAUAAUUUAUCCUGCGCCAUGAUCUUCCUUCUCUGCUCGACCUGCCUUUUCUUUGUUUCCUCCCAGCUCAUGACUUGGUGUUCAUCUUAUCCCUCAUGUUGCUGCUCCCUAGUCGUCACCUGCUCAGCCUCAUCGAUCUACGAUUACAGAUCCUAUUCGUUUUUCUGUGAUUGUCCUUUUCGUUUUCUAUUUAUGGUUUGAAUCCUCAAGGUUUUGAUGGCUUCUUCCUUUCCUUAUCCAUUGUUUAAUUCUUGCUUUCUUUCAUUCUUUAUCUUUCUUUUUGGAAGUAUGGAUUUGUUUCUUUUUCUCCCUUUACUCUCUCCCCCCUCUAGUCUUUUCUUGAAUUAUUGCAGGCAUGCAUAGCACUUGAGGUUUCUCUAGCGCCUGGAAAAAACAAGAAAACAGAAAAAGAAAUGGGUUUUUGGUGUCAAUGAUAUCACAUGCAGCCAAAUAUAUGGUGCCGCCUGCCGACUGCCGACAACAGGCACACGCUUCAGUUUGGUUAUGCAUGUGUAGCUCAUCAUCGCGUAGAACGGGCACUCUGGCUUAAAUACAAUUAUGUGCUAAUCGCAUGCCCAUUAAUUUAUUUUUCUUACAAAACAGAAAAUUACAUAGUUUAGGGAUCCACACAACCUGGAG